Molecule: long non-coding RNA, 596 nt
Filed under: Monodelphis domestica (gray short-tailed opossum)
Lineage: Eukaryota; Metazoa; Chordata; Mammalia; Didelphimorphia; Didelphidae
Description: lncRNA (ENSMODG00000044973.1)
Source: RNAcentral
UGCUCUUUCUCCUCUCCCUUAGCUUCUUCCAUUUCUUGGGCCAUAUGGUUCCUUCCUCUCCUGGGACUACACAGGACUUAGCAUCUCUCUCUUAGCUUUUCCAUGACUGCUAUUUCUGGGAUUGAAGGAUUCUUCGGAUGAACAAGCUUCCCUUUCCCAGGGAUUCAAGGCUACCCCGUGUGUUUCCUUUUCCUAAUUGUUUGCCCAUGUAUUAAACUCAGUUCAUCUCUUUCUGCUCUCUUUUGUAGUCCACGUCCAAAAGAAUGCCUCAGAUCCACAAUAACCACGAACCAGUCAACCAUCCUGAAAUGCCACAACUUAAUCAGUCACUUUCAAUUGCUCAAGAAAGAGAUUCUGCUUUUGCUCUAUUUGUGAAAGGCAGCUGGAUGGAUGAACAUUACCAGUUGUAAUGAGCCUGGCAAUUUUUUUUUAAAACAAUUUGGAAGCAAGGAAAAAGAAAAGCUACUCUUUGCUCAUUUUCAGUUGCUUAAGGCAGUCAACUCUACUGUGGACAGAAACAAAGAUUACAAAUGAACAAUGCUUAUCAGGUAAAAAGUGGGAAAAGAGAUAAUAAAGAAAUAUCUGGGAUUUAAUCA